CAGACGGGUGAGUAACGCGUGGUCAACCUACCGUUGAGUGGGGGAUAACUAGCCGAAAGGUUAGCUAAUACCGCAUACGUCUCCGAGUGGCAUCACUUGGCGAUAAAAGGAGCAAUCCGCUCGAUGACGGGACCGCGUCCCAUUAGCUAGUUGGUGGGGUAACGGCCUACCAAGGCACCGAUGGGUAGCUGGUUUGAGAGAGCGACCAGCCACACUGGGACUGAAAAACGGCCCAG
Molecule: ribosomal RNA, 236 nt
Filed under: uncultured bacterium
Lineage: Bacteria
Description: partial 16S ribosomal RNA
Rfam family: Bacterial small subunit ribosomal RNA
Source: RNAcentral